GCUCCGGUGGCCUAGUGGUUAGAGCAUCCGCCUUGGAUGCGGGAGGUCGUGGGUUCGAUCCCCGGUCGAGUCA
Non-coding RNA from Potamilus streckersoni, 73 nucleotides. NCBI's taxonomy places the organism in Eukaryota, Metazoa, Mollusca, Bivalvia, Unionida, Unionidae. The record is from the annotation of a GenBank genome assembly.